AAGUGGAGCAAUCCAUGAGUACAGUGGCGUACGGGUGAGUAACACGUGACUAACCUACCCUCGAGUGGGGAAUAACCUCGGGAAACCGGGGCUGAUACCGCAUAACAUCUUCGGAUCAAAUGCGUAAGCAGCUUGAGGAGGGGGUCGCGGCCGAUUAGCUAGUUGGCGGGGUAAUGGCCCACCAGGGCAAUGAUCGGUAGCCGGCCUGAGAGGGCGCACGGCCACACUGGAACUGAAACACGGUCCAGACUCCUACGGGAGGCAGCAGUGGGGAAUUUUGCGCAAUGGGGGAAACCCUGACGCAGCAACGCCGCGUGGAGGAUGAAGCCCUUUGGG
Molecule: ribosomal RNA, 336 nt
Filed under: uncultured bacterium
Lineage: Bacteria
Description: bacterial SSU rRNA
Rfam family: Bacterial small subunit ribosomal RNA
Source: RNAcentral